RNAcentral lists this ribosomal RNA (305 nucleotides) under uncultured bacterium. RNAcentral's name for it is "bacterial SSU rRNA". It matches the Rfam family "Bacterial small subunit ribosomal RNA", at positions 337 to 634 of the family's 1533-position model. The record is from RNAcentral.
UCCUACGGGGGGCAGCAGUAGGGAAUCUUCCACAAUGGGCGAAAGCCUGAUGGAGCAACGCCGCGUGGGUGAAGAAGGUCUUCGGAUCGUAAAACCCUGUUGUUAGAGAAGAAAGUGCGUGAGAGUAACUGUUCACAUUUCGACGGUAUCUAACCGGAAAGCCACGGCUAACUACGUGCCAGCAGCCGCGGUAAUACGUAGGUGGCAAGCGUUAUCCGGAUUUAUUGGGCGUAAAGGGAACGCAGGCGGUCUUUUACGUCUGAUGUGCAAGCCUUCGGCUUAACCGGAGUAGUGCAUUGGAAAAU